Molecule: transfer RNA, 74 nt
Filed under: Prevotella melaninogenica
Lineage: Bacteria; Pseudomonadati; Bacteroidota; Bacteroidia; Bacteroidales; Prevotellaceae
Description: tRNA-His
Rfam family: tRNA
About the family: Transfer RNA (tRNA) molecules are approximately 80 nucleotides in length. Their secondary structure includes four short double-helical elements and three loops (D, anti-codon, and T loops). Further hydrogen bonds mediate the characteristic L-shaped molecular structure. tRNAs have two regions of fundamental functional importance: the anti-codon, which is responsible for specific mRNA codon recognition, and the 3' end, to which the tRNAs corresponding amino acid is attached (by aminoacyl-tRNA synthetases). tRNAs cope with the degeneracy of the genetic code in two manners: having more than one tRNA (with a specific anti-codon) for a particular amino acid; and 'wobble' base-pairing, i.e. permitting non-standard base-pairing at the 3rd anti-codon position.
Source: RNAcentral
GUGGAUGUAGUUCAGCUGGUUAGAGCGUCAGAUUGUGGUUCUGAAUGUCGUGGGUUCGAAUCCCACCACCCACC